UUUGAGUUUGGGCUGACCUCUUGGAGCACAGAAGAGCUUGCUCUUUGCCCUGAUGAAUGGUUGCCUAUGAAACUAAACAGCCUCCAGUCCAAACCAGCUCACAUGGGUAGCCUCCUCUUAAGUUUCCUUUUCUUCUUUGUCUCAACAAAAACCCCUCCAAUGAAUGAUCUGCCUCUCCUGUGUUAGCAGACCUGAGCUCUUCUAAAGAUCACUAUUUCAACACCACUUUGGAUUUUCUCUGACUUUGCAAAGACUGUUGAGGAAUAGUAUUUACUUGCUUAGACCUCUGAACAACUGGAGGACCUGUUGGCAAUCCCAUGGCCACUGGCCUCAAGGACAAUAUAAACCAGAUGGGAAGACCAUGUGGAUGCUCAGGAAAUAGCUACCAUUGCAAAACAGUAAAAAUUAGGGUCACUGUGAUUUAAAAGUAGGAAAUGCUGGGUGACUUUAGGAAGUGGAAAACUUCACAGAAGAGGAAAGCUUACAGUUGGACCAAGGAUUUGAAAGCCACAAGAGCAAAGACACACAAGUGGGCCCACAUAGAUGUGCAACGGUGUUACUUUAGUGAUACGCAACUGGCAACUGUAAAUUCAAUUAUUCACUGAGAGAGCGGACACGGAGGAAAGUGGUGAUGUCACCACUAGCCUCCACUCUAAGACACCAGUGACAACCGUUUGUUCCACCAGGCAGGAUAGAACUGUGAAGGCCUGUUUGUUCUUAGAGGAAAGAAGCAAGGACAGAAGCAAAGUGAGGUAUUUUAGAGCUUGGCAGUGGUUCUAGGUGCUCCCUCGCUGCAUCCAGAAACAAGCUGUCUGGUUUCUCCUCCUCAAUAUCUGCCCCUUUGCUGUUCUUCCCUUUUCUUGCCUCCUCCCUUUAGGUUAUGGCAGCACUUGAUCAAAGAAGUCACUACCCAGGGCCAUUCCUACCUUGGACACAUGUAAGGGCUAACUCACCCAAACAAGAAUGAGAGGCAGGUAAGGAAACACUUCUCACACUGCAAGUGUAUCAUUACAACACCCAGGGAUCUUGUUGAAAUGCAGACUCUGAUUCCUUAGGUCUGGGUGGGACUUGAGAUUCCUCUUUUCUUAUAAGUUCCCUGCUGAUGUCAAUUUGACUAGUCCUUGGGCCACACUAAGUGUAGCAAGGAGAAUCACGCAUCACAAUGCCAAGAUUCUCCCCACAAAAUUGUGGCCCUUCCUUCUGUCCCUAACUUUAUGGAAACAGUAACUGGAACCUUCAUCUCUCCUGACAAUGGGGCAAGGGAGACAACGUCUGCUUCUGGGGCUAUCGUAGGAUGAUAUGAGAGGAGCAGGUCAUGACUAUGCCUGGCACUGAACCUAGGACUCAGAGCAGCUUGUGAAUGUCACUCACUGUCCUUCCUUAUUUCUUGAGCCUGCAGAUGUUAAGGAUGCAGCAAGACUGGAGCAAAGGGCUGGAAGAAUAAGGACUGGAGUAAGAGAGCCAUGAGUGCAAGAAAGGCCCUACCAGCUAUUCUGGGGAAUAUAUACAAUAGUCCCUUCUUAUCCACGGUUUUGCUUUCCACAGUUAACUGUGGUCCAAAAAUAUUAAAUAGAACAUUCCAGAAAUAAACAAUUUGUAAGUUUUAGUUUGCAUGACGUUCUGAGUAGUGUGAUGAAAUCUCUCACCAUCUUGCUCCAUCUGCCCAGGACAUGAAUCAUUCCAUCCAUGCUACCUGCCUAUUAGUCACUUAAGUAGUCUUCUCAGUUAUCAGAUAAAAAAAAAUAGGAUAUAUAAAAUUCAGUAUGAUCCACAGUUUCAGGCAUCCACAGGGGUCUUGGACUGUAUUCCCUGUGAAUAAACGGGGACUACUGUACUUGAUUUUGCAAGCAAUCAGACUUAUGGAAGAUUCUGAACAAGCUGGAGACUUGAUGGACACAGUGAUAGGAACACUAUGGGAUGUUAGCUAGUCUGGAGAUGGGAGAGUAAUACAGAAAGAUCAAGUGGGCAGUGUAAUAUAACAGAAAGAACUCUUGGAAUAAAGUCAAAACAAGUGGAUUCUGCUACUUUUCCAGCUGUGGAGCUUAGGCAGCUUACCUCAGCUAUUGGGAUUUAAUUUCCCCCACCUGAAAAAUAAGGCUUCAUUACUAGACUGGGUCAAGCCCUGCCAGCACUGAAACGAUCUGCUAGAAUUCUACUCACUGCACUAAUUCAAGCUUGCCAUGAUGAAGGGUAAAAUUAACAGCAUAAGUGACAGAACAUAGAGGAAGUUAAGGCAUGGAAGAUGUUCACAAUGUUGGAAUGACGGGGCUUAAUGAAUGAUUAAGGACACAAGGAAGAGAGGAACCAAAGUGAUUUUGAGUUUAUCCUGGGAUACUAUGAUCCUGGUAGUUCCAAAAGAAGGGGCUGGUUUGGGAGAAUGAUGAUGAUAACACUUUGAAUAAUACUGAGUAAAAACUGGAAAUGAAUCAUUGUGUGCAGGCCUGGACUACGGAACUUGCACAAACCCGAGAGUGAGGGAGCACCUCCUUAAAUGUGGCCCCCUAGGACCCAUACUCAUCUCACAGUAGUUCCAGCCUGAUCUUGUGGAAAUAUUUAGAAGCUGAAACAAAGGAGGGGCAGAAAAGAAGGGACUAUAAAGUUGAGCCUGGCCCUUACCUUCGA
Long non-coding RNA from Pan troglodytes (chimpanzee), 2622 nucleotides. RefSeq lists it as uncharacterized. Lineage: Eukaryota; Metazoa; Chordata; Mammalia; Primates; Hominidae. The transcript is spliced from 3 exons. The record is from RefSeq and is a predicted model, not a curated record.